RNAcentral lists this long non-coding RNA (247 nucleotides) under Linum usitatissimum (flax). RNAcentral's name for it is "long non-coding RNA (LUSI_LNC000552)". Lineage: Eukaryota; Viridiplantae; Streptophyta; Magnoliopsida; Malpighiales; Linaceae. The record is from RNAcentral.
UCUCAUGACAAAGUGGGACCAAUCUACACAAACACAAACACUCUCUCUUUCUUUAAUAAUCAUCUUCUUCUUCUUCCUUCUUCCUUCACCACAACCAUCAUCAUCAUCUUCUUCCCUCUAUCUAUCUUCCAUCUUUCUUUCUUUCUUUCUUAUUCACUUCCUUUGAGGAGGAAGAAGACGUUUCCUAGUUUGUUUAUUAACUUCUUUGUUGUGAUUAUGAGGUGAAAGUUUGUUUUGGAUCUUCUCC